RNAcentral lists this ribosomal RNA (222 nucleotides) under uncultured Rikenellaceae bacterium. RNAcentral describes it as "partial 16S ribosomal RNA". It matches the Rfam family "Bacterial small subunit ribosomal RNA", at positions 1166 to 1382 of the family's 1533-position model. The record is from RNAcentral. Lineage: Bacteria; Pseudomonadati; Bacteroidota; Bacteroidia; Bacteroidales; Rikenellaceae.
AGGAAGGGUGGGGAUGACGUACAAAUCAGCACCGGCCCUUACCGUCCGAGGGCUACACACGUGUUACAAUGGCCAGUACAGGAGGCAGCCCACCCCGCGAGGGGGCGCUAAUCCUAAAAGCUGGUCCCAGUUCGGAUCGGAGUCUGCAACCCGACUCCGUGAAGCUGGAUUCGCUAGUAAUCGCGCAUCAGCCACGGCGCGGUGAAUACGUUCCCGGGCCUU